This 541-nucleotide long non-coding RNA is filed under the name Nicotiana tabacum (common tobacco). RNAcentral describes it as "long non-coding RNA (NTAB_LNC000114)". The record is from RNAcentral. Lineage: Eukaryota; Viridiplantae; Streptophyta; Magnoliopsida; Solanales; Solanaceae.
CGUCGCAUCAACAUAGAAGUCCACCACCUCCUACCCACAAAAUUUCACCUGUAACUCGUCACGCUCCACCUCCUCCACCUCCACCAAGUCCGGUAUAUUAUCACCACCCAUCACCACCACCUCCACAACCAGUAUAUUACGCGCCACCAACAUAUAAACCUCAAUCACCACCACCACCUCCACCACCAGUACAUUACGAGCCACCAACGUACACACCUCAAUCACCACCACCACCUCCACCAGUACAUUACGAGCCACCACCAUACACACCUCAAUCACCACCACCUCCACCAGUACAUUACGAACCACCAACGUACACACCUCAAUCGCCACCACCACCAGUAUAUGUGACACCGUCUUCACCACCACCACCAGUAUAUGAGCAUCCAAAACCUCCAACUCCAACUCCAUCACCACCAGCUGGGUACACACCUCCCCAGGAGCCAUCACAUCCUGCCCCACCUACCCCACCUUGUAACGAGACACCACCCCCACCACCUAGUACCCCACAUUGGCAACCAAAACCAUCUCCUCCCCCUAC